CACGGAGGAUGCAAGCGUUAUCCGGAUUCAUUGGGUUUAAAGGGUGCGUAGGCGGGCUAUUAAGUCAGUGGUGAAAUCCUGCAGCUUAACUGCAGAACUGCCGUUGAUACUGAUAGUCUUGAGUUUGGUUAAGGUAGGCGGAAUGUGUAAUGUAGCGGUGAAAUGCUUAGAUAUUACACAGAACACCAAUUGCGUAGGCAGCUUACUGAGCCGACACUGACGCUGAGGCACGAAAGCGUGGGGAUCAAACAGGAUUA
Molecule: ribosomal RNA, 257 nt
Filed under: uncultured prokaryote
Description: partial 16S ribosomal RNA
Rfam family: Bacterial small subunit ribosomal RNA
Source: RNAcentral